This 299-nucleotide ribosomal RNA is filed under the name bacterium enrichment culture clone ALO1_GLFRUDD03FXVTX. RNAcentral describes it as "partial 16S ribosomal RNA". It matches the Rfam family "Bacterial small subunit ribosomal RNA", at positions 9 to 307 of the family's 1533-position model. The record is from RNAcentral.
GAGUUUGAUCUUGGCUCAGAUUGAACGCUGGCGGCAUGCCUUACACAUGCAAGUCGAACGGCAGCACGGGAGCUUGCUCCUGGUGGCGAGUGGCGAACGGGUGAGUAAUGCAUCGGAACGUAUCCUGGAGUGGGGGGAUAACGUAGCGAAAGUUACGCUAAUACCGCAUAUUCUGUGAGCAGGAAAGCGGGGGACCUUCGGGCCUCGCGCUCUUGGAGCGGCCGAUGUCGGAUUAGCUAGUUGGUGAGGUAAAGGCUCACCAAGGCGACGAUCCGUAGCAGGUCUGAGAGGAUGAUCUG